UACGAAGGGGGCUAGCGUUGCUCGGAAUCACUGGGCGUAAAGCGCACGUAGGCGGACUCUUAAGUCGGUGGUGAAAUCCUGGAGCUCAACUCCAGAACUGCCUUCGAUACUGAGAGUCUCGAGUCCGGGAGAGGUCAUGGGAGACUGCUCGACUGGAGGCAGGCAGAGGCCGGUGGAAUUCCCGGUGUAGUGGUGAAAUGCGUAGAGAUCGGGAGGAACACCCGUGGCGAAGGCGGCCGGCUGGGCCUGACCUGACGCUGAGGCGCGACAGCGU
Molecule: ribosomal RNA, 274 nt
Filed under: uncultured bacterium
Lineage: Bacteria
Description: partial 16S ribosomal RNA
Rfam family: Bacterial small subunit ribosomal RNA
Source: RNAcentral